RNAcentral lists this ribosomal RNA (253 nucleotides) under uncultured bacterium. Its description in RNAcentral is "partial 16S ribosomal RNA". It matches the Rfam family "Bacterial small subunit ribosomal RNA", at positions 524 to 776 of the family's 1533-position model. The record is from RNAcentral.
GACGUAGGGGGCGAGCGUUGUCCGGAUUUAUUGGGCGUAAAGCGCGCGUAGGCGGCUGCGCAAGUCGGUUGUGAAACCCCGGGGCUCAACCCCGGAACUGCAUCCGAUACUGCGUGGCUAGAGGUAGGUAGGGGAGAUCGGAAUUCCUGGUGUAGCGGUGAAAUGCGCAGAUAUCAGGAGGAACACCGGUGGCGAAGGCAGCACUCUGGGACGUGACUGACGCUGAGACGCGAAAGCGUGGGGAGCAAACAGG